Molecule: ribosomal RNA, 497 nt
Filed under: uncultured bacterium
Lineage: Bacteria
Description: partial 16S ribosomal RNA
Rfam family: Bacterial small subunit ribosomal RNA
Source: RNAcentral
GAUGAACGCUGGCGGCGUGCCUAAUACAUGCAAGUCGAGCGAACGGACGAGAAGCCUGCUUCUCUGAUGUUAGCGGCGGACGGGUGAGUAACACGUGGAUAACCUACCUAUAAGACUGGGAUAACUUCGGGAAACCGGAGCUAAUACCGGAUAAUAUUUUGAACCGCAUGGUUCAAAAGUGAAAGACGGUCUUGCUGUCACUUAUAGAUGGAUCCGCGCUGCAUUAGCUAGUUGGUAAGGUAACGGCUUACCAAGGCAACGAUGCAUAGCCGACCUGAGAGGGUGAUCGGCCACACUGGAACUGAGACACGGUCCAGACUCCUACGGGAGGCAGCAGUAGGGAAUCUUCCGCAAUGGGCGAAAGCCUGACGGAGCAACGCCGCGUGAGUGAUGAAGGUCUUCGGAUCGUAAAACUCUGUUAUUAGGGAAGAACAUAUGUGUAAGUAACUGUGCACAUCUUGACGGUACCUAAUCAGAAAGCCACGGCUAACUACGUG